CGACAACUGCCGUCGAGCUUCUGUUCCACAUGGAGCUAGUAAGAAAAUAGCUUUCCUGUGCCGACGAGACCUUUCGUCCGAUACCCAGGAUCAUCAGACCAGCUGAGAUUGGACAGACACAAUAUAAAAUACGUCUUUUUAGAUCUUCUUCCUGCUCUUGAUUCCAGCAGCCAGCCAAUAGUUAUAUGGAUCAGAAGUCUGGAGAGUUUGGUAACAUAAGCACUGUGAUGUGAUUAAAGAAUUUUAUGUUUCUCAA
Molecule: long non-coding RNA, 256 nt
Organism: Limulus polyphemus (Atlantic horseshoe crab)
Lineage: Eukaryota; Metazoa; Arthropoda; Merostomata; Xiphosura; Limulidae
Exons: 3
Source: RefSeq, a predicted model, not a curated record